UACGGAGGGGACUAGCGUUGUCCGGAUUUACUGGGCGUAAAGAGCGCGCAGGCGGUCGUUCAAGUCGCGUGUGAAAGCCCCCGGCUCAACUGGGGAGGGUCACGCGAUACUGAUCGACUCGAAGGCAGGAGAGGGUAGUGGAAUUCCCGGUGUAGUGGUGAAAUGCGUAGAUAUCGGGAGGAACACCAGUGGCGAAGGCGACUACCUGGCCUGUUUCUUGACGCUGAGGCGCGAAAGCUAGGGGAGCAAACGGG
This 254-nucleotide ribosomal RNA is filed under the name uncultured bacterium. RNAcentral describes it as "partial 16S ribosomal RNA". It matches the Rfam family "Bacterial small subunit ribosomal RNA", at positions 524 to 776 of the family's 1533-position model. The record is from RNAcentral.